This 617-nucleotide long non-coding RNA is filed under the name Vulpes vulpes (red fox). Its description in RNAcentral is "lncRNA (ENSVVUG00000007990.1)". The record is from RNAcentral. Lineage: Eukaryota; Metazoa; Chordata; Mammalia; Carnivora; Canidae.
GACAUAUUAUUAGUUGAGUAGUGAAGUGUUUUUCUGCUUAUUCUGAGUUUGUCUUUUCCAAUUGUAUCUAUAGGAAAUGAGAAAGGAAAAUUUUGUUAGUGUGAACAAAAUUCAUCUACUAUUCAUCCCUGUGAAGAGACCUAUUGUAUUUUUCACUAAAAUGUUUGGAAGAAAAGCUGUAGCCAUCACAUCAUAUUUUACCUCACAAUUCUAGAAGACAGAAGCCAUUAUUGUGUUAUCAACAUGCCUUCCUAUAGCAUGGUUCAUAAACGAUUCAUCUUUAUGGAACUAUAUUUUUCAAGACUGGUAAGAAAAAUUUAAAAGGAAACAAACAUGACCUCAUCUUCCUCCUUUAAACCUAUAAGCCAUACAGAGGAUGGAAGUGUUCUUAAAUAAUGCUAUUUUAUUCUAGAUUUGAACAGUGCAGGGAAGAUUAGUACCUACAAAGGAGAGGCAUAAGGUUAAAACUCAUUACUCACUACAUAGUCCAAGAUACAAAUAUGAGGACCAACAAUAUUCCAAAUGAAAAUGCCAUUUACAGCUAAACAUGAACAUUUUUUCUGUCAAACAUGAACAUUUUUCAUAGAAUCUAAUAAACACAAUACUGAAGGAAAACA